This 23-nucleotide microRNA is filed under the name Gallus gallus (chicken). RNAcentral describes it as "Gga-Mir-1452_3p* (star (passenger))". Lineage: Eukaryota; Metazoa; Chordata; Aves; Galliformes; Phasianidae. The record is from RNAcentral.
AUAUCCUUCUUUCUUGUCUUUUA